This 372-nucleotide ribosomal RNA is filed under the name uncultured bacterium. RNAcentral's name for it is "bacterial SSU rRNA". It matches the Rfam family "Bacterial small subunit ribosomal RNA", at positions 524 to 898 of the family's 1533-position model. The record is from RNAcentral.
UACGGAGGGUGCAAGCGUUAUCCGGAUUUAUUGGGUUUAAAGGGUGCGCAGGCGGAACAUUAAGUCAGUGGUGAAAGCCCCUCGCUCAACGAGGGAAUUGCCAUUGAUACUGAUGUUCUUGAGUUCAGUUGAAGUGGGCGGAAUGUGUUGUGUAGCGGUGAAAUGCUUAGAUAUGACACAGAACUCCGAUCGCGAAGGCAGCUCACUAAGCUGAUACUGACGCUCAGGCACGAAAGCGUGGGGAGCAAACAGGAUUAGAUACCCUGGUAGUCCACGCUGUAAACGAUGAUCACUCGCUGUUGGCGAUAUACUGUCAGUGGCUAAGCGAAAGUGAUAAGUGAUCCACCUGGGGAGUACGAUCGCAAGGUUGAA